GACAGGUAGAAGCAUGUAGCCUGGAAAUCAGAUGCAUGCUGUCAACAGAAAUUGUUUAAAGCUAUGAAAAUAACUUUUGAGUUUUUCUGCACAUUUUAGACAAAAAGUAUAUAGAAUAUUUGAGGUUCAGAGAGACCAAAGCCACCAAAUCCAGAAGGACAUCAAGUAGAAAUACAAAAGUCAGAAAAAGCAAGAAGCUACAAAUCAUUUCCACCCCAGUGUGUCAGAGCCCACACGCAUUACCUCCCUGACAACAUCCCAGGACUUGGAGUUAAAGGGAUGGAAACAAGAUGAGAAACUUCAGAAUGGAGAAAUGGAAUGAAGUGACCAAAACAAUUAAGGAAUUGGUGAAAGACUCCAAAACUAAAUCCAAAUGAGCCCACGAGGCAAUAAAUCAC
Long non-coding RNA from Lepidothrix coronata (blue-crowned manakin), 398 nucleotides. RefSeq lists it as uncharacterized. The transcript has 4 exons. The record is from RefSeq and is a predicted model, not a curated record. NCBI's taxonomy places the organism in Eukaryota, Metazoa, Chordata, Aves, Passeriformes, Pipridae.